This 73-nucleotide transfer RNA is filed under the name Xylanimonas ulmi. Its description in RNAcentral is "Xylanibacterium ulmi tRNA". It matches the Rfam family "tRNA". Rfam says of the family: Transfer RNA (tRNA) molecules are approximately 80 nucleotides in length. Their secondary structure includes four short double-helical elements and three loops (D, anti-codon, and T loops). The record is from Rfam by way of RNAcentral. Lineage: Bacteria; Bacillati; Actinomycetota; Actinomycetes; Micrococcales; Promicromonosporaceae.
GCCUGCGUAGCUCAGUGGAUAGAGCAUUCGUCUCCUAAACGAAGGGUCGGCGGUUCGAGUCCGCCCGCGGGCA